RNAcentral lists this long non-coding RNA (14374 nucleotides) under Gallus gallus (chicken). The record is from RNAcentral. Lineage: Eukaryota; Metazoa; Chordata; Aves; Galliformes; Phasianidae.
UGCAUUUGUACUGGCAGAGGCCGUCCUCGCCGCCCAGGAGGUCGAGCGCCGCGUUGAGGUAAACGUCGAUCUUGUGCACGCCGUUCCGGAUAGUUUUCAGCGUCAUCCUCCAGUCUGGGGUCUGCGGCGCCUCCUGGCUCCGGGCCGCCGGCGGCCGCGGGCCCACCCAGGCACCCGCCAUCAGCAGCGGCAGCAGCAGCAGGGCGCGGGCCAUGCCCGAGGAGCCGCGCCCCGCGCCGCCGGGCGCUCGCUAAGCCCCCGCCGCGCGGCCGCAGCGCUCCGCACGCACGGCCCGGCCCGCCGCCAUCGGCCCCGCGGGCGCCGCCCCUACGGCUGGGCGGGACUGCGAGCAGGGCGCGGCCUGUUGGAGAAGGCGGCCGGCGUCCGCUCCUGGCCCGGCGCUGCGGUGUGGGGUGCUGGGAGCGGAGCUGCUCCGGGAUCUUUCCACGUGCGAGCGAUUCGCUUUCAGGUGAGGCAGGGUGGAACCACACGGGAAUCGUUCUAAUUUCUGCAACGAAAGCCUUGUUUUAAGACGUGUGGAAUUCCUCAAAAGACGGACAGAGGGAUUUUAGGACACAGGUAACUGCAGGGGACGGGAAAUAUAAAGAACAUGGAAAGGCUUCCGGAUCUGCAGGCGGGCGCGAAAGUACCCGGUAAAUGCUGCUGCGUGUUUGGGCUUUUGUUUGUUUGUUUUUCCUCUCCAGUCUUUGCCGUUCAUUAUUGUUAACUGGAGAAACAGUAGGAAAAGCUGUUAGCAGAUGUUGUCUGCUAACAGACAGAAGAGGGAGCUCUUGCCGCGCCUACCCUGGGAAGUGCCCGUCCCUGCGGCUGCUGUACGGAAGCCCUCCUUCGGCAGAGCAGUUCCAGGGAAGGGGCGUGGAACGAAAGCGGUCUCUACUCUUACUUUGCUUGGAGGUGACUGACAGGGCCUUACUUGCCAAAUUCAUGCUGAUGCGGCUCCAUGCUCAGCGGAGGAUGAAGUCAGUGAAAAUGUAAAAAUGUUGCCUGAAGCAAAUAAUGGUGUCUUAUUAAAAACCAAACUCCAGGCAAGCCCUCAGACUCAGAGAACCCACCCUUUUUCCCUCAACAUCCUUGCGUGAGCGUAUGCUAUUGAGUUGGUGGGACAGCUGAUUGAGAGGGAUGAAGUAAAAAUAGGUGUUCAAACACUUGUAAAUUGGAAUCCAGCAAACUGUUACAGAGCUGUUGCACAGUUUGACAGGACUGAAAUGGUCCUGAAGUCAUUUGUACCAAUCCAAAAGCCAACUACUGGCUUUUAAAAAAGAGCCAGAACUUUCCUAGUGGACUCAGGGCCUGCCCUACCUACCACAUCAUUCUGCUUUUGGGUAACUUUCUGAAUCACUGCAUGGCCAAACUGCCUGUGACUGCACAGCACAGGAUCAGGCCCCUGUAAGGGUGUGUUUUUUUUCUUUGUGUCACUGUUUUGUGCUUGUGUCUGUUGGUGCAGGAAGCUUCUGCUCGAGUAGUUGAGUGAUUUAAACAAAUCUCACGAUCGUGUUCAGUCCAUCAGUUAACACACGGUCUGAAGUUCUGUUUCUCAGUAAGCCUAAAGGAUCAUCAGCCCAGCAAAGCGGCAUCCUGAGGGUUUCUAAUGACCUACCCCCCAGUAUGAUGGAACUGCUUUUACAUUCUCUGGUUGCUGUCCUUUCUGUAACGUUCACAUAUUGCCAGUGCAGUUGUUUUCCAACCACUGCUUUCAGUAUGGUUGUCCAUUUAAAAUAAACAGUUACUACUGAAAUGUGGUGUGCAAUGUGGGGAGAGGGAAAAGAAAUAGCAACAACAAAAGGACAGAUGCUUGAAUUUCCCUGCAGUAAACAUGGUUUUAUUAGAUAAUUUUGCUGUGGACUUACAUGACUGCAAAACUCUUUUGUACAGACUUCUGUAAAAUUGUAGUAUUUGUAGAGAGCUGAACGUUUUCAAACUACAUUAUUUCAUGAUUUAUACUAAUAGUUGCUAAGGCACAUGGCUGCUAUAGUAAAAAUGGACUAGUGUUCAUUUCUGCAUGGAUGGUAACAAGUGUUUAGUUUGCUGAGCUUCAGAUAUUAUACCGUGAAAUGAGACUCCUUGACACAUGGUGGCUAAUCCAGUCGUAAUAGCUGGCUACUUGUGUGUAGACGCCGGGGUGACCGGCCUCCCCACAGUUUUCACCCCAACUCACAACACCCCAGACAUAAGCCACAUUUUCUGCAUCAAAGCAAACCAGGGGACCUCCUGAAUCACCUUUGCAGCUGUCAAUGGAGCCAUCGUAAGUACCUGCGGCAAAAGAGGGUGGGGGAACAACAACAACUCAAAAGUAAGUUUAUAUGCAAGCUAGCACACAAAGUAGAGCUCAGGAGGCUUUUUAGAUCCAUGUCACUUCCUGACAGGUGUCUGCCUAGCAGUCACUACUACUGGAAGUUCCCAGUCUCUUUGGUCUACUAUUUCUUAAUUAUUUUGAAGUGCAGCCCCCCCUCUUUACAAUUUUGGCUGGCCCAAAAGCUCAUUUGCUUUCACGUCAGGAAUGUGAUUCUUCUUGUGACAGAGAAGAAUUCAGACAUAUUGUAUAUUAUAUCAUUAGAAGUAGCUUAUAAAAAGGGGACAGAAGGUAGAAGAAAAGGGUAAGAAGAUUAGUGGACCGAUCCCUCUGGAAAUUAAGCUAUUAUAAUAUGCAUGUUCCUCUACAUCUGCUAUUGAUGUUCUCUCUACCUAGUAGUACAUUGGCCAAUUUGAUCUGAGCUACGCAGAAGUAGAAACCUCAAAAUUAAUUUCUCUGCAGGCUUUAUGGCAAAAGGUGGGCAGAUCCAAGGAUAGUACAUGAAUGAUGGGAUACAAGAGAGUGUAACUGUCUUUAACUGAGCCCUUGCAGAUAUGGCACUUGAAGUGUGGACCUUCUGGAGCACCAGGUGACAGCUCUGAGACAUAAACAUAUGGGCUGUGGUGCUCUCUACAAGUUUCUGGGGUUUUGAAGCUACUUGUUUCCAACUUAGCAAAUGUAGUGGUUGUAAUAAAUAAAUAAAGAUGAAAGAAUAUGAUAUAGGCAAAAACUUGCUAGAGAGUUGGAAUACAAUUUAUCCUUUGUCCCACAGACUCAGUAGAAGUGUGUAAAGACAUCUUUAUGUCCUUCUUUAUACUCGGUUGAUCCACCUAGUUUGAAGGAACCCAUACUAAGCAAGGCUCCCCACGUUUUUAAACAUGUAACCUCUUUCUUGAGUCUCUACAUCACUGAGAAAGAGUUCUGUGAAUGUUUCAGGAUUGGAAAGACCAAUUCUAUAAAACUAGAUUUUGUUCCCCAUACUCAGUUGAAUUAACGUUACCUUCUAUCAGUAGUUCCAGCAGAUACCAGUCCUUAAUUCCAAAAUUUGUAUCUGCAUUCACGUUGUACUGAAUUUAUUCACAAAUGGUUAAGUUUUUAUAUCCAGUUUUAAUUUGUCUUGUUAUGUACUUUGUUUAAAUACUGCCUUCACUUCAGAGUUAAAGAACAGUUGAAACUAUCUGUCCUGUAAGUUGAAAACUCAUUGCUCUUUAAGACAUGUGUUUGGCAAUACCUUUUGUUACUUGAAAAGCAAAAAUGUGUACUCAAAAUGCUUAUUUUAGUAUUAGGAAUGACAACCAGUUUCCUGGCCAGACUAAUCUUUGUUUGAAAAGUUUAUAGUAUUUUUCCUGGGGUGUGGUUUAGUGGUAGAAAAUAUCUCAGCAGAUGAAUAGUCACAUGCUAGUCAAUAGGACUGUGAAUGUGCUCCAAAAAAGGCAUUUGCUUUAAUAUGUUCCUGAAGCAGAAUGAAAUAGAGGUAGGAGGAAGUUCAGUGGGCUGUAAUCUGCUUGUGUGUUUAGAAAACAUGACUCCAACUGUGUGCUGAAAUUUGCUUACAGUCACUGAAACUUGGCAUUCUGUCACCAUAACUGUUUAUAAUUAGAUAGAUAACAACAGAUGACUGUAGACUCCAGUGGCUAGUGCUUUGCUAAUGACAAUGCCGUUGCAUUUGGUUUCUUGCAUUUUCCAAGUCUAAAAGAUUCCCAGCCUGUAUGUCAGUCCUUAGCAACGGUGGGCAUGAUGGUAAAGUUAUAGUAAGAAAAUUCAUACUUGCCUGCACAUGCCAUUUUUUGAAAGAAUCGUCCUGGAUACAUUUCAGAACAAUUCUGAAAUAAAUUAACAUUUCCCCAUUUGAGCACAUAUUGUUUGGUAUAACCUAGAAAAGAAAAUGAUAAACUUUUCUAAAUUUAAACUGAUAAAUGUGUAUGAAACACUUUUAAUAUCAUAAUAUGAAAGUUAUAGAUUUGCUAAUCUACUGAAUUUAAUCUUAGAUAUUAUAAACCAGGUACCUUAAACUGCUGCUAACACUUGCCCCACAUCCACUGCCCAUAUGUUUCAAAAUCAAAGCAGAGUGGUUAAAUUGCAGUAUUAAAUGCAGUAGUUUCAUUUUUUUGUAAUUUUUACUCCUUCCCUUUGUUACUUUCUUCAAUUUUUUCCAUGUUUUCCAUAUCAGGGUUUCCAGACACUGGGAGACCAGUAUAUUGUUUUCUGUGAAAUGGAGAAACGCCUCUGAUCAUCCUUGUUACUUCUUUCUCAGAAAGAUGAGAGGACUGGAACUUGCAGAUACAGUCCCCAUCCAGAAACCUUGCAUUUAUCGCCAGCCUUGAACAUAUGCUCUGACCAGGGGACGCAGGCAGGUGUGCUGUAUUUCAAGGAGCACUCUCCUUUUCCAUGACCUUUCAGCUCCAGCAGAGCGAUGUCAUUUUCAUAAGUUGCAGCAUCAUACUUCUCAUGGAUUAUCAGUUGCUUUAGUCUGUAAGUGUCUGUCUCUCUGUCAUACUGUAUUGUAUCCAACAGCCCAAUCCAGACACGGUAUUGAUGAACUCGAGUUGCUCUGGAAAAGGAGCCAAUGAAAUAUGUUUUGGUACCUCACACAAGCACUGUAUGUUUCAAUUACUCAUAAAUUUUUGCAUUUUAUCAAAGUUUAUGUGGAAUAAAUAUUCAUAUUAUACACGUAUAGUUUCUUUCUGGACUUGUAUGUCGCAGUUGUUCUGAAGGAGGUAGAAGGCUGGUGACACUUAUUGCUGAGUCCUGAAGCUAAUACAGAAAGACAGUACUAAAGGCCAGUGUGUUUAGUGCCCUCACAAAGAGAAAGCAAAGCUUAUGUCUCUGAUAUCAGAUGAAAGAAGAAUGGGCAAAUACACAUGGAACACUGGGCUCGGCAGGUCUUUCCUGCCCACUCCUGCUGGCUCUGGGGAAUAGGUGGCACCAGGGACAUUCUUGGGGGACAGGCACUAGACCUCCCCAGUGCUGAGAGGAGGUAAUUCGUAAUUACUUUUUUGCUCACUGACAAAAUGCUUUGUCUUUGAAUCCCUCCCACUGUUAAUGUGAGCAAAUCAGUGAUUUUAGUUGUGUUAUUGAAUGGGCAAGUAAGAAUUAGCAACCAAGUAGCCGAGAAGAGCAAUAAUGCACAGAUUCAUCUUUUCUACUUUGCAAAGAAAUCAUUUCUCAGGUUGUUGCUUUUACCUGACACAGUGUGCAGCAGUCAGAACCCAACAGCCACCAAUAUAAACCCCUCCACAGUACACUGUUGCACCUUCAGUGCCAGUGUCUUUAAUUGCCACUUGCCAAGGGAAUUCACCCUAUUAAAAUGACAGAAACCCAAAUAAUAUGAAAUCAUCAUUGUGCUAUUUUUUGUGCAUAAAGGGAAACACAAUAUCACUUCAUCUCCUUGACUUAAUCUGCUAUUAAGAAGUUGUCUGUAAUCUGGGCUCUGACAUAAAAGCUCUGUAUUCUAAACUACAGUAACGUUGUUGUCUUCUGACAUUAUGCAGUGUCUCCCUCCCCGCAGCUUUCUGUCAGGAAACUCCUAAAAAAACCAGAUGGAGGAUCUGACCUGGUAUGAUCAAACGUUACAUUUAUGACUAUAAUUAUCAUACAUAGCUAUAGUAUUAAGUAUUUUGCUGGAUUAUUUUCAACACAUACUUGCACUGUAAUGCUGUAUUUUGUAGCUUGGUGUUUUACCUUAUGAACUGUGCUUCUAUUUAUAUUCAUUCAGUGCAUUGUCACUACUAAUGUAAAACAUGAAAUUAAUGUAACUGAUUUUGUUAUUUCCGUACAUUUUAACAGAAGGACAAUAAUAACCAUUUAAAUUGUUACUGAAUGAACACAUGAGCCUAUAUUUGUAAGGUCUGGUUGUGUCUGUGUGUGGGGGGUUAUUAUUAUUUUUUACCUUUCUUGCAGUCUGUCCACCUAUGAUUCUUUUCCGUCGAGUUAAUGUGUGAUUUACAACACCGCAGUUUAUUUGGGGAAGGAAUGUCUUUGCCAGUUUUCUUUCUUUAACAAAAAGGAAGAAUGUGUCUCAGAAUUCAAGUAUUCAUUCUCUCUAUUUGGAGACAGACUUAUCUUUACCUUGAAAUCAUGAGUGCUGUGAGUAUGCAAGUGGCUGAAGUAGCAGGAAAGCAAAAGACCCAGAAUUGUUACAUCUAUUUUUGCUUUGAAAAUUACUUCUGUCUUAGCAUCACAAUAUUUCUGUUUAUUUUUCAUUACUGACAGCAUUCAGGUGAAUAAUUUCAAAGCAGUCGCCGUAGACUUGCUUAGAGUUUACCUCUAUCCGUUGCUAAUAUGUACAGAUGUGGAUCCUGAGGCAGGAUUAAUUAUUAUUGUGGUUGAGAUUAGUGGAAAGCUAGUCAAAUAGUUAAGCCCCAGAGUGUGUACUACUAAGCCACAAAGUCCAUGUAUCUGAGUGUUGCGAAUCUGGCCAACUGGCUGGUAGUUAGAAAGCCACUAAAAAGAGGGUAUACGGUGGUUUGUGGGCCGUUACUUACCUGCAUCCAUACUGUGAUUUUCCUCAUGUUUUGGUUUGCCUGUAGUGGAAUAAUAGAAUACUAAGAACAUUUACAAAUAUUUAUAUUGUUCUGUUACUUGAAUAUUUGGUUGUGUACCAAAAUUAUGGUACAUUUUCAACUGGAUAGGUGCAUAACAUUUCGCAUAGACAGAAAUACUCUGUAAGCAUUGUGCCUGCUGUUUUCUUUUUCCUAGGCACUCAUUGCUGCCAUAGCUUACAAAUGACUGGCAUCCAGCAGAUAUUGAUUUACAACUACAUGAUAUCUAGUCUUCUUUUCUUGUCCAGAGGACCAUUCUGCAAAGAAACCCUGUGAAAUGGCCUCCUUUGUUUUUUGUUUUUUUUUUUAAGUCUCUAAAGCGAUAGACUGCUCUCCUCUACCAGGAAACACCAGAAAUUCCCCCUCCUGCCCCGUCAAUCUUUUGGAGCUUUCUAAAGCCCAAAGGAGCAUUAGGUAAGAAGGUAAGAGGAUAUAUAUUUUUUUAACUUCCAAUUUAGAUGCUGCUGUUCUGUACUCUGUGCCUCCUUUAACAGGGUAAGGGAGGGUAUUCAACACCAGAGGUAAACUAAAUGCUUCCUGAAUCUGGUUUGUCAGCUUUUAUUCAGAGAAAAUACCCAUUGAAUUCACUUCCUAAUUGGAGGCUGAGGAUUGGCUCUAUUCUCAUGUUACUGACAGUAAUGUUUACUUUUAGGGUUCAGUUUACCUUUACCAAUUACUAUGUACCGAAAAUGUUUACUUUUUGGCUUUAGACUUUGUCUCUUAUCUAAAAUAUUCUAAGUUCAAAACAAAACAAGGUAUUUUCAGUGGUAAGGAGAAUAGUACAGAUGAACUAUUAUAUUAACAAACUAGUUAAAUUAAUUCCUUAUACACAAGGAGAAUAUUCCUGCCUGCUGCAUCUACAUUUUCUUCCCAAAAACAGGAUACCGGUUUGAUAGAUGUCCAUGCAUGCAAAGGUUAUAAUCUACUUUAAGCCUCAUAAAACAACAUCUGUUUUUUCUAUCCUUUAGUUUUUUAGUAGAAAGGGAAGGAAAAGUAUGUAACCUUUUCUUAGUCUCCUAGUAUGUGUAACAUAACAUCAGAAAGACUUAACUCUUGCAUGCAUUUUGGUUUUGCUAAUUUGAUAAAUGACUUAAUAACAUGCAUUGUGUAGUCUGUAGGUUUAAUUUAGCAUAACAAAAGCAAAAGAAAGAAAAACACAUCUUAGAAGGAAACCUGAACAGAGAGCUUGAGCUUCAUCCUCUCCUGUUAGGCAGUCAACUUCUUUGUUACACACAUUCUUAUUUGGAAUACAGAUAUUUGAUCGACAGUGGAAACUGUUGUUUCUGCAUUCUGUAAUAUAAAAGAAGUAAAAUGGUAAAGCACAGGACUAUAUGAUUCAGUGACCUCACGUAUUUAGAGGGCUUCUUAAAAUAUAAACUCGAUAAAAUAUCCAUGGUAUGGAUACUUUAAGGGACUUUGCUAUUUAUAAAUAGAUCCUGAAAGUAGGGUCUGUAAGUGUAAAAUGAAGUGAAUACUUGACUCUGCUCAUUUUUCUGUCUUGGUGUUUUAAAAUUUAUGAGUUUAAGAAAGAUCUUAUUUUAGUUUAAGGUAGUUCAUUGGAAAAACAACAACAACAACAACAACAUGGUUUUGUUUGAUUACUGUCAGUUUUGCCCUACUGAAAAUACAUUUAAUUCUGCCUAAUACAGUUGGGUUUUGUUUCUUUGUUUUUGUUUGUAUCAACAGCCUCCUAAGUCUCAGUAUUUUUUUUUAUUAUCAGAAGAAAUCCAGAUCCUCAGAGAUCAGUUGCUUGCUUUGGGAAAUUGCAUUAUUUAUAUUAUUACAAUUAUCUAACUGUAGAAUCAUAGAACUUUUUUGUGCUUUCCUACACAGAAACUAUAGUUUUCUUACCUUAAUACUGUGACUUUGCAAUAGAGACUUCAUUGUUACAUCACUGUAAAAAUUAAUUCUUUGGAGAUGGUUUGUUGCUGAAAUGUUUUUUAAACAGCUGAGAGAAUAAACUAUUACCUUUACAACACAGUUCAUCACUUAAGUCUCCGCAGUCAUUUAUACCGUCACAGGUUUUAGUCACAGAAAUGCACUUGUCAUUUGCACAAUGGAACUCACCAGCUGAACAUUCUGUACAGUGAGAUGAAAAUGAAGUUAGUAUAGAAAUGACUGUAGGUUCACAACUGCCCAAGGAAAUACUCAGCAUACACAUUUUAUUCAUUCGACAGAUUGGCCUCUCAAAAGUAGGCAUCUUAAAGCCUAGUUAAGUAAAUAGGGAUCUUUUUUUUUUUAUUGUUUUCAUUGCCUCCUCUUCAAACUUUCAAUGUGACUCUGUAUUUUCUUCCUCCAACUUUCAGUAACCUGGCAAAAGGGAACUUUGUUUCUUCCAGACAAGGACUAAAGUAGAAACAUUAGCUUCAGUUGAUCUCCCAGAGCAAGAACAAAAGAAGUAGGUUGUCACCUGUCUCCUCAUCAGUUAAACUAGGAGAGACAAGAGUUGUGGGAUAUAAUAUGCUUUGGGAGGGAUGGGGGAACAGCCAGAACCAAGGGUGAAAUUUGUCCACUUUUGGGUAGUAUCUGUCAAGAUAUUCUAGGAGCAACAGUGCAUUAUUUUCCAAAGCUGUAAAUUCAGGAUUGCCUCAGUUGUCUUAAAUGUUUGCAAAAGGAUUAUUUAAAAAAAGAUAAAAAUUAAAAGAUUUCAUUGAUUUCAUUAGUGGCUGAGAUUUCAGCAGAAUAGAUCCUCAAUACAUAUAUUUCAAAUAAACUUAACAUGAAGAGCUGUAAGUAGAUUUAAAGCCAAAAAAACCCUACUAACCUCGGAGAGUUUUCUGGCACUGGAGGCUAACAAAUCCCUCAUUACUAGCUCUUAAUUUCUUCUCUAUGUAACAUUCAGCAAGACUUGUCUCUAGGCCUCUGCAAGUUAUUUGGAAGCAGUGUGAUGGUUCUGUGAUGUUGUAGAUGGUGUGGUAAUAUUCAGCACCUCUGUAAAGAUAAAAAUAAUAACAACAAAUUCUCUAAUUUCACAGUGGAUUGCCCUCUCUUUUUAUUGUUUAGAAUUUAUGAUUUUCCUCAGUGUUAAAGAACUUUGGAUGUGGCUAAGGAAAUAAAAAAAAAAAAAACCAAACAACAGAUUUCCCAUGGAGUGGCGUAAGGGUAAGGAGGAAAGUAGGAGAUAUUUACUUUGGAAGAAAAGGUUCAACAAAGUGCAUCAUAGAGCUGGCACUGAAUAUGUGACAUUCUUAUCUGUUCCUGUGUAUGGUGAUAGAUAGAAACCAUCUUGCAUGAGGCUGAGUACCGGUGGUAUCAUCAAAACCAAUGCAUAUUGAGGAAGCUUAGGCCAUUGCGAGAUUGGCAUUUAUUAAACACCUGAAUGCAAUCCUCUAACAGUGUGUCUCUCUUCUCUCUUAAGAAAAUAAGGAAUGAAUAAAUAAAUAAUUGGAGAGACUUGCAGUGGGAGUCAAGGGCUGAAUGCUCUGUCCCAGAACAAACCUCUCUCUAUGCUAUCUAAAGAGGUAUGAAUCAGGACUGGGAAAUAUUUAAUUCUCAUCUACAGGGGACAGAUUUAGGCACUGUGGUAGCAUUCUUAGUUUCUGUGUAGAGUUGGAGAGGCAGUCCUAUUUGGCUCAGUUAUGCUAUUGCUUAAAAUGAUUAUGUACAGGAUAUAGAGUUGAUUCUUUAUGAUGACCUCAACAUGUAACUCAGAUCAUUGGUGUGGUCUUGGGAAAAAGAACAAGCUGUUUGUGGCCUCAGCUGUUUCUGGUGGGCAAAGCAAGCAAUGGUGGCAGGUCAGGAGAUGAAGAAAAAGAGCUGUGUUCUGGUUCUUGUUAGUCUGGCUGCUGCGAGUGGCAAAACACAGCUGUACCGUUUGGCUAGCCAGUUUAAGAAACUUUUCUCUAUAUGCAAUUCAUUGAUCAGAGCCACCUGGGGAUUGUCCAUCUAUGCACUUUCCCUUAUACAGACCUGAGAGAAAACUCAUCUAUCAGACUUCAACUUUAUUUUAAAAGUAAAAUAUUAAUCAUUUGAACAGUUGUUAUUUGUACGAAAAUGCAGAAAUCUGCUCUGGCUUUUGCUUUCAAGAAGCUUUACUGUAACCGAUAUAUUGUUCAUGAAUUUUCUCUUAAUAGUUGGCUGACUGACUGACCCUUAUAUAAGCAUCACUAUUUGUUCACAUCCAUUGCAGUCACAGAGAGAGAAAUUCCCUGAACUUACAAUUCAAAGCCAAGGUGUCUGCAGGCCACAUUUGCUUCAUUCAUUGUCCACAUACUGUCACAUACAAAAAGGUCCUCAUUAUUCACAGGUUUUACUUGGAGCAAAUGUGAAUCAUUGUAGACCAAGGAGAUUUUAAAUGUUUCUAAAAAAAAAAAAAAGAAAUUAAAAAAUUCCCUUAUAAAAUUGUAUUCUAUGGAUGUAUGUAGUGGAAAGACAGCACAGGAAGAAACCAGACCUAAAGUAUGUUGUUGGCAUCCAGAGUUCAUAUGGAAUGAACAGUAGGUUGGGGAUCAGAAGCUUAAGGUAUUACUGACAUUAUGGCUUUGAGCCUGCUGCUUUUUCAAAUAUACCAGCUUCAGAUCAAAUGAAGAUAACAGUUCCUGUCCUGGAAGCAUACUUGAAGGUCUUCUGAGGAAAGGUUGCAUCUUAGUGUAAGACUUUUGUUAGAGGACUUUCAGUAAUCAAACAAAUGAAUGACUGAUACCUUUUGAAAAAAAGAGAUAUUAAUACCUGUGGACAUGCAUUUUCCCUUGUUCAGAAACUUUGCUUCGGAACGUUGACACUCAAAGCUCUUUAGGUGGCAAUAAGUAUAAAAGUUCUUUCCAGUGGUAGAACAAACUGAAGUGCCGUUCUUUGGACACUGGUAGGGAAGCUUACAGAGGCAUUUUCCCUCCACACAUCGUUCCCAUGGGUGACAAAAAACUUUCUUACAGGACUUGUGUGUGUAUUUGUUGCUUAAACAUUCUUCUAUAAGGUAAGUGUCUCGCUCAGCUGGCUGACUGUCUUGCUCAACUGGCUGAGCAGGCUCAACGUAUGAAGACUGUUCUUCUGUAUCAUUAGAUGAUUCAUUCUGCAAGGCACAAAUUAAAAAAAAAUGCCAAAACCAAAUAGUGAACAGGACUGGAGAUGGCACCAGCAGUUCUGCAGAUCCCUUGCAUACGUCAGCAGAGUGAUUGGGAGCCUUUUCCUAUCUUGUAAAAAUGGAAGUGCUAAAUAUCAUCUAUAGUGUUUAUCCCCUUGUCUUUGAGAUAUCCACCUUUCUGUUUUUCUGGAUUUUUUUUCUUUUUUCUUUUUCAGAUCAUUCCCCUGGUGUGAUUUUCACUCUUCCUGGUCACCCACAAGCUAUACUCUUCAAAAAUCAGCUGAAGUGCACAACAGAUGAUAAACAUUUCAAGCCAGUGGUUUAUAGCACACCACAACAAUGGAACUGUGAGCAAAUUAAAAUAUAAGGGGACUUCACAGAAUCACACAGAAUGGCCUGGGUUGGAAGGGACUUCAAGGAUCAUGAAUCUCCAACCCACCCCCCUGCCCCCCCGGCACUGGCAGGGCCACCAACCUCUACAUUUAAUACUAGAGCAGGCUGCCAAGAGCCCCGUCCAGCCUAGCCUUGAACACCUCCACGGAUGGGGGAUCCACAACCUCUCUGGGCAGCCUGUUCCAGCACCUUACCACUCUCACAGUAAAGAACUUGCCCCUGACAUCCAACCUAAAUCUUCCCUCCUUCAACUUAAAACCAUUUCCCCUUGUCCUGCUAUUAUCUCCCCUUUCAAAGAAUUGACUCCCCUAACUUGGCUUAAACACCAGAAAAAUGAAAUUAAAAAAAAAAGAGUAGCAACUUGAUUUUUUUUCAAGACCUUUUUAUUGUCCCAGUUGACCCAGUUGACAUAACUAUAGCCAAUAACUACUUAGAAACAAAUAAAUCUAAAAUUGAAGAUGUGUUUCAUUGCAAGUAACAAGUAUUAAGUAUCUUCAACAAAUGUGAAAAUUAAGUGCCCUUCCCAGUCUGUUUUGUUCCCAUAUCUUGGAUGGCAGUGGGUUUGCAGUGUGGUUUCUGGUUGUUGUGGACUGCAAGGAGUGCUCCUUAUCCCUCCAUCUGACCAUCUGUCUCUAGGUGAGUGAUAACACCUAUCCUGGCAGCUCUCUGGUUAUUCCAUUGCUGGCUGAGUGCUUUUGCUCACUAAGAUGUGUGUGCAGGGGGAAUGUUGAAAUGUGAAAAAUAUGUAGCUAGACUUUGCAUAAAGAUGAGAAAGAAAUGUCAGUUGUCAGAUCGGAUUUAUCGGCUUUGAGUGCAUCCACUGAAUCAACAGAGCCAAAGUUUAAAGUUCUCGUGAAGAAAUCCUGGCCUAAGUAAAGGCAGUGGGAAUGUCGCCAGGGCUGAAUUUAUUCCGAGCCCCUCCCACCCUUUUAAGGGCUGUAUAAUCUUAAUAAAUUCUUCCUGUUCUUCUCAGGUCAGUAGAAUCCUAUGCAUUAUCUUUAGAUUUACAUACCAAACUCUGAGCCAGGCCCGGCUUGGCAUAACUCCUGUAUUGCACUAGAUGUUUCUCUUUAGCUCUGACAGAAUAGCAACAAAAGGGGCUGAUCUUUACCUACGGGUUUUUCUUGGAAAGCUCAGGCUAUGCUGAACAUGGAGCCCAUCAGGACUCCUUGAGAGGCUUUUGCCAGAAGAGAUUUUACAACAAAAGCUUUCUGAGCUGAGCCACACUUGCAGGUUGGGUUUAGCAUAGCAUCCCGAUUAAAAGAUUUUCCAAAAGGCUGUUAAUGUAAACCUCAGAUAGAACCGAUAUACAGAGGAGAAACAGCAAGAUUCACAUUUUCAAGCUGGACUAAAACAAAUGUACGAAAUGCAGAUGCUGCAAAAGGAAAUUAAAAAAGACUUUGUUUUUAUAAUAAUAAAUUGUUUUAACUGUUUGCUGUUGGUUGGUUUGUUUUUAAAAUAAGGGGAUACCACAAUAAAAUAAGUUCUUACCUGUGCUCGACAGAAAGAAAAGAGAGAGAAGCAAACCAAGAGAACUGCAACCACUCUCAUGAUGAGGUUUUAUGUCUUUGUAGAGAAAUUCCCCUGGCCGGGACUUUCCCAAUUGCCAGUCGUUAGGUUUGUGUUUAAUUUUUAACCUUUGGUAAAACACUCUGAAGUGGACUCAGAAACAACUACGGGAGCCUUAGAUAUCAACGGAUGAGUCUGCUCUCUCCACACGGAUCCCACCCCAUUUAACCUGUUUUACUGUAAAUAGAGACCAAAGGGAAGCCCUUGAAGCCAACGGUUACAAGGGAGUGCUCAGCAGGGUCUCUCGCUCCCCGCCUGCUGCCAACGCAGACCGAUGGAGCCGCGGGCCGAUCUCCUGGCAGCAGGCACCCCGCUCUGCAGGGAGCUGUUAGGGCAGGUGCGUUCUUAGGUGAGAUACGUGUGUCUGUAUGCAGGCAGGCAAACGGAACGGAUCAACUCCACUAUCUCCGUGCGAGAGCGUAACCGGCGGAGCCUUGCUCAGAGAACUGUUGGGGCAGUGGCCAAUCCACUGCAUCCCACCUGCGGGCGGUUUCCGGGAGAACCGCGGUCUCGGCCGGCACAACGGAACGGCUCCUGCGA